RNAcentral lists this ribosomal RNA (1168 nucleotides) under Candidatus Liberibacter solanacearum. Its description in RNAcentral is "bacterial SSU rRNA". It matches the Rfam family "Bacterial small subunit ribosomal RNA", at positions 66 to 1263 of the family's 1533-position model. Lineage: Bacteria; Pseudomonadati; Pseudomonadota; Alphaproteobacteria; Hyphomicrobiales; Rhizobiaceae. The record is from RNAcentral.
GCGCUUAUUUUUAAUAGGAGCGGCAGACGGGUGAGUAACGCGUGGGAAUCUACCUUUUUCUACGGGAUAACGCACGGAAACGUGUGCUAAUACCGUAUACGCCCUGAGAAGGGGAAAGAUUUAUUGGAGAGAGAUGAGCCCGCGUUAGAUUAGCUAGUUGGUGGGGUAAAGGCCUACCAAGGCUACGAUCUAUAGCUGGUCUGAGAGGACGAUCAGCCACACUGGGACUGAGACACGGCCCAGACUCCUACUGGAGGCAGCAGUGGGGAAUAUUGGACAAUGGGGGCAACCCUGAUCCAGCCAUGCCGCGUGAGUGAAGAAGGCCUUAGGGUUGUAAAGCUCUUUCGCCGGAGAAGAUAAUGACGGUAUCCGGAGAAGAAGUCCCGGCUAACUUCGUGCCAGCAGCCGCGGUAAUACGAAGGGGGCGAGCGUUGUUCGGAAUAACUGGGCGUAAAGGGCGCGUAGGCGGGUAAUUAAGUUAGGGGUGAAAUCCCAAGGCUCAACCUUGGAACUGCCUUUAAUACUGGUUAUCUAGAGUUCAGGAGAGGUGAGUGGAAUUCCGAGUGUAGAGGUGAAAUUCGCAGAUAUUCGGAGGAACACCAGUGGCGAAGGCGGCUCACUGGCCUGAUACUGACGCUGAGGCGCGAAAGCGUGGGGAGCAAACAGGAUUAGAUACCCUGGUAGUCCACGCUGUAAACGAUGAGUGCUAGCUGUUGGGUGGUUUACCAUUCAGUGGCGCAGCUAACGCAUUAAGCACUCCGCCUGGGGAGUACGGUCGCAAGAUUAAAACUCAAAGGAAUUGACGGGGGCCCGCACAAGCGGUGGAGCAUGUGGUUUAAUUCGAUGCAACGCGCAGAACCUUACCAGUCCUUGACAUAUAGAGGACGAUAUCAGAGAUGGUAUUUUCUUUUCGGAGACCUUUAUACAGGUGCUGCAUGGCUGUCGUCAGCUCGUGUCGCGAGAUGUUGGGUUAAGUCCCGCAACGAGCGCAACCCCUACCUCUAGUUGCCAUCAAGUUUAGAUUUUAUCUAGAUGUUGGGUACUUUAUAGGGACUGCCGGUGAUAAUCCGGAGGAAGGUGGGGAUGACGUCAAGUCCUCAUGGCCCUUAUGGGCUGGGCUACACACGUGCUACAAUGGUGGUUACAAUGGGUUGCGAAGUCGCGAGGC